CAAAGGGUCAAGAGAGGACUAAGGCAAGACCUCUUGGGUCCCACAAGUGAGCAGUGGAGGGCAUUCGGAUGCAAUGAUCUUUCAGCCCUAACAUUCUGGAAGUCUGAUUCAAAGAGUCACACCCAGCAAAGGAAAACACAGAGACUAGACGGAAUCAGUGAAGAGGUGGCUGGUCAAAAGCAGCACAUGUAUCGUGUUUUCAAAGCUCAGCAGUGACUCAGGAAGGCA
Molecule: long non-coding RNA, 228 nt
Filed under: Homo sapiens (human)
Lineage: Eukaryota; Metazoa; Chordata; Mammalia; Primates; Hominidae
Description: HSALNT0291680
Source: RNAcentral